GAGGGUAUAGCUCAGUGGUAGAGCACAUGCUUAGCAUGCACGAGAUCCUGGGUUCAAUUCCCAGUACCUCUG
RNAcentral lists this transfer RNA (72 nucleotides) under Camelus bactrianus (Bactrian camel). It matches the Rfam family "tRNA". Rfam says of the family: Transfer RNA (tRNA) molecules are approximately 80 nucleotides in length. Their secondary structure includes four short double-helical elements and three loops (D, anti-codon, and T loops). The record is from Rfam by way of RNAcentral. RNAcentral also lists the same sequence under 1 other name. Lineage: Eukaryota; Metazoa; Chordata; Mammalia; Artiodactyla; Camelidae.